UACAGAGGUCCCAAGCGUUGUUCGGAUUUACUGGGCGUAAAGGGUGCGUAGGCGGUCAACUAAGUCUGAUGUGAAAUCUUCGAGCUUAACUCGAAAACUGCAUUGGAUACUAUUUGGCUUGAGGAUGGUAGGGGAGACUGGAAUUCUCGGUGUAGCAGUGAAAUGCGUAGAUAUCGAGAGGAACACCAGUGGCGAAGGCGAGUCUCUGGACCAUUCCUGACGCUGAGGCACGAAAGCCAGGGGAGCAAACGGG
This 253-nucleotide ribosomal RNA is filed under the name uncultured bacterium. RNAcentral's name for it is "partial 16S ribosomal RNA". It matches the Rfam family "Bacterial small subunit ribosomal RNA", at positions 524 to 776 of the family's 1533-position model. The record is from RNAcentral.